GAUCCUGGCUCAGAUUGAACGCUGGCGGCAGGCCUAACACAUGCAAGUCGAGCGGAUGAGUGGAGCUUGCUCCAUGAUUCAGCGGCGGACGGGUGAGUAAUGCCUAGGAAUCUGCCUGGUAGUGGGGGACAACGUUUCGAAAGGAACGCUAAUACCGCAUACGUCCUACGGGAGAAAGUGGGGGAUCUUCGGACCUCACGCUAUCAGAUGAGCCUAGGUCGGAUUAGCUAGUUGGUG
RNAcentral lists this ribosomal RNA (237 nucleotides) under uncultured bacterium. Its description in RNAcentral is "partial 16S ribosomal RNA". It matches the Rfam family "Bacterial small subunit ribosomal RNA", at positions 15 to 254 of the family's 1533-position model. The record is from RNAcentral.